RNAcentral lists this unclassified non-coding RNA (344 nucleotides) under soil metagenome. RNAcentral's name for it is "partial contains 5.8S ribosomal RNA, internal transcribed spacer 2, and large subunit ribosomal RNA". The stretch from base 1 to 120 matches the Rfam family "5.8S ribosomal RNA", at positions 35 to 154 of the family's 154-position model. The record is from RNAcentral.
GAUGAAGAACGCAGCGAAAUGCGAUAAGUAAUGUGAAUUGCAGAAUUCAGUGAAUCAUCGAAUCUUUGAACGCACAUUGCGCCCGCCAGCAUUCUGGCGGGCAUGCCUGUUCGAGCGUCAUUUCAACCCUCGAGCCCCCCCCGGGGGCCUCGGUGUUGGGGGACGGCACACCAGCCGCCCCCGAAAUGCAGUGGCGACCCCGCCGCAGCCUCCCCUGCGUAGUAGCACACACCUCGCACCGGAGCGCGGAGGCGGUCACGCCGUAAAACGCCCAACUUUCUUAGAGUUGACCUCGGAUCAGGUAGGAAUACCCGCUGAACUUAGGCAUAUCAAUAAGCGGAGGA